GCGGCGUUAACUCAGCUGGAUAGAGUACCCGGCUUCUACCCGGGCUGUCGGGGGUUCGAAUCCCUCACGCCGCG
This 74-nucleotide transfer RNA is filed under the name Simplicispira metamorpha. It matches the Rfam family "tRNA". From Rfam's summary of the family: Transfer RNA (tRNA) molecules are approximately 80 nucleotides in length. Their secondary structure includes four short double-helical elements and three loops (D, anti-codon, and T loops). Lineage: Bacteria; Pseudomonadati; Pseudomonadota; Betaproteobacteria; Burkholderiales; Comamonadaceae. The record is from Rfam by way of RNAcentral.